AAAAACAAAAGUUACUAAUUAGUGGUGUGUGAUACUGCAAUAUUUGGUAUUGAUCCGAUACCAAGUAAAUACAGGGCCACUAUUGUCGAUAACAAUACCGAUAUCAAUACUCUUUAAUACAGAAUUAUUUUGAAAAAGGGGAACGUUUGUUCAAAACGCUACACACAAUUAGCACAACCACGCACCCAAAUAGCACCUUGGACCGUUUGCAAAAUGAAACACU
This is a long non-coding RNA of Etheostoma cragini (Arkansas darter), 223 nucleotides long. RefSeq lists it as uncharacterized. The transcript is spliced from 3 exons. The record is from RefSeq and is a predicted model, not a curated record. NCBI's taxonomy places the organism in Eukaryota, Metazoa, Chordata, Actinopteri, Perciformes, Percidae.